This 419-nucleotide long non-coding RNA is filed under the name Carica papaya (papaya). RNAcentral describes it as "long non-coding RNA (CPAP_LNC009996)". The record is from RNAcentral. Lineage: Eukaryota; Viridiplantae; Streptophyta; Magnoliopsida; Brassicales; Caricaceae.
UACUCUUUUGUGAUGAAAGAACAAAAUUUUUUAGUCUCCAACUUGAUGUGGAACCCAAGAUCAAUUAACGUAAUCAAAAAUUCCAUAAAUAAUGAUGCAUAACCCGAGAACAAAAUAUGGAACCCAAAACCUCACAUAUCACAUUAGCAUGCAGAAACUUAUCCUUAAAUAAACCCUCCCUACUUGACACUCAACAAGGGAGUGAAAACUAAAGUAAUUGGGAUAAUUGAAUUAAUUAGAAUGCCACACCAAAAACCUUGAUAAGUUAAAAUUGAUUCAAGGAAGAGAUUGAUAAAAACGCUAUAAGUUACCUUGAUAAGUAGACAUCAAUUCUCCACUCAAUAAGAAAGUUGAAGACAACUCCUUAAGGAGCAACUUAGCCAAUGGCUAACCAAAGGUAAAAGCUUAAUUUUAUUGAU